RNAcentral lists this unclassified non-coding RNA (716 nucleotides) under Acanthastrea rotundoflora. RNAcentral's name for it is "Acanthastrea rotundaflora sequence contains 18S rRNA gene, ITS1, 5.8S rRNA gene, ITS2, 28S rRNA gene". The stretch from base 319 to 472 matches the Rfam family "5.8S ribosomal RNA". The record is from RNAcentral. Lineage: Eukaryota; Metazoa; Cnidaria; Anthozoa; Scleractinia; Lobophylliidae.
ACAGAGCGCCGGAUGCCGGAAAGUUGGUCAAACUUGAUCAUUUAGAGGAAGUAAAAGUCGUAACAAGGUUUCCGUAGGUGAACCUGCGGAAGGAUCAUUACCGAUACCGUCCAAGAAAAAAACAACUUUGCGUUGUUUUUUUGCCCUGUGAACUGUACCCAAUCGUUUAGGGGUCGGCCUGGCCGUUAAAUGGCGAGCGGACGCGAGGCAAUGCUCGCGGCCGUCCUCGCCAGCCCCGCCUGUGUUUUUUUUUAACGUACGUGUCUACGGUCUGAUGUUGCGGCCUGAUGAGGGCCGAGAGUUGGAAAUGCAAGAGACAACUUUUGACGGUGGAUCUCUUGGCUCACGCAUCGAUGAAGAACGCAGCCAGCUGCGAUAAGUAGUGUGAAUUGCAGAAUUCAAUGAAUCAUCGAAUCUUUGAACGCAAAUGGCGCUCUUGGGUUCUCCCAGGAGCAUGUCUGUCUGAGUGUCAGAUAUCAUCCAUCGCAAGCACGGUGCGCCAGCCCGUGCUCGCGGCGUUGAGGCGUCACGGCCGCCGCACAGUGUCGGCCGUGUCCCUUGAAAGGCAGAGAGACUCGCCGCGGUCCGUGGGUUUGAUUCAUUCCCGCGGCGCACCAGCGGAGGCCAAAAGUGUUGGCAGUCCUUCGCGCGCCGUCGGGGCCCCGCCGCGCGAGUCGUCCAGGCGAGACAUCUAUCUAUCUUUCUUGACCUCAGAU